UGACCUCAAAUCAGGUAGGACUACCCGCUGAACUUAAGCAUAUCAAUAAGCGGAGGAAAAGAAACUAACAAGGAUUCCCCUAGUAACUGCGAGUGAAGCGGGAAAAGCUCAAAUUUAAAAUCUGGCGGUCUAUGGCUGUCCGAGUUGUAAUCUAGAGAAGUGCUAUCCGCGCUGGACCGUGUACAAGUCUCCUGGAAUGGAGCGUCAUAGAGGGUGAGAAUCCCGUCUUUGACACGGACUGCCAGGGCUUUGUGAUACGCUCUCAAAGAGUCGGGUUGUUUGGGAAUGCAGCUCAAAAUGGGUGGUAAAUUCCAUCUAAAGCUAAAUAUUGGCGAGAGACCGAUAGCGAACAAGUACCGUGAGGGAAAGAUGAAAAGAACUUUGGAAAGAGAGUUAAACAGUACGUGAAAUUGCUGAAAGGGAAACGCUUGAAGUCAGUCGCGUUGUCCAGGGAUCAACCUUGCUUUUGCUUGGUGCACUUUCUGGUUGACGGGUCAGCAUCAAUUUUGACUAUUGGAAAAAGAUUAGGGGAAUGUGACAUCUUUGGAUGUGUUAUAGCCCUUGGUUGCAUACAAUGGUUGGGAUUGAGGAACUCAGCACGCCGCAAGGCCGGGUUUUAAACCACGUACGUGCKUAGGAUGCUGGCAUA
RNAcentral lists this ribosomal RNA (649 nucleotides) under Cortinarius sp. ectomycorrhiza S12. Its description in RNAcentral is "eukaryotic LSU rRNA". It matches the Rfam family "Eukaryotic large subunit ribosomal RNA", at positions 1 to 633 of the family's 3401-position model. The record is from RNAcentral. Lineage: Eukaryota; Fungi; Basidiomycota; Agaricomycetes; Agaricales; Cortinariaceae.